RNAcentral lists this unclassified non-coding RNA (359 nucleotides) under Hevea brasiliensis (rubber tree). The record is from RNAcentral. Lineage: Eukaryota; Viridiplantae; Streptophyta; Magnoliopsida; Malpighiales; Euphorbiaceae.
GUAACAUGUACUAGUUCUAUUAUCCCCCAAAUUAACCAUCAAACUAGAUACGAGACGAUUCCAAAAACGGAACCCUCCUCCAAAACUAGUUUCUUCUCAACUAAUGAACUCAAUGAAUAGCCGGCCAACCAUAAUCUUGCCCAUUCCACUGCGCUUGACAAGUGUGACUACAAUGUGGUCGUCCCCCUCGGCCUCUAGGUCUUUCAAUAAAUCAGUAAUCCCCAGUCUCAAAACUGUCUUGCUCAUCACUCCAUGCCGAUGUGGCAGACUUACAAAACUCCCCGCAAACUCGCUUGCUGCCGGCGUCAUUCCCUCCAUCCCAGCCGGUGCGUUGACAUACACAUCAAACUUCACGUACA